Molecule: long non-coding RNA, 11633 nt
Filed under: Lynx pardinus (Iberian lynx)
Lineage: Eukaryota; Metazoa; Chordata; Mammalia; Carnivora; Felidae
Rfam family: tRNA (bases 5528-5600)
Source: RNAcentral
GCGGCCACGGCUCUGGAGAAGUCUGCAGCUCAGACAACAGAGGUCACGGCCACUCCAGACCUGCCACGUCCUGCUCCUUCUCCUGAUGACUUACCAUCAGAUCUCUAGGUCUUGGCACCACAAAGCUGUUGCAGGCUUUUCCUCGGUUUCUGGGUUUGCUUGAUCCCAGACCUAAAGCCAGGGUCUUGCUGGUGGAGCCCACCCCAGGGUUCCACCCAUCAUCAGCGGGACUCUGGCUUUUAAGUCUAAAAAUGGUGUGGGGGGUGAAAUAUGGGUCAGGAUCACAAAAUAGGGAGAGGUCAAUUGUGGCCCAGCUUUUCCCCAUGGAGCUGCAAGCUGCUGUCUUAACCCCCACAAUCCUCCAGUCUUGCCCCUCUCUUCCUGGGACUGACCUUGCUUUGCCCCCUCCUUCCCUUUUACCCCAAACCACUGCUAAGUGAGGUUAUGUCCUAUGCUCCUUCAUUACAGGGACUCCUAUUCUCCAAGUUGGUGUCCUUUCCCCUGACCUUUGACCCCCAACACAUUCACAUCCUGUGAAGUCACUCUCUGAAGUCGAGGGGGAUAACUGAUUCUCAAGAUGGGCAAAGUAGGGGUCCAAUGCCACGUUUGAGCCCUGAGACCACCCCGCCCCUGCCCCUGAAGCCUCAAUCCCAGCAUGUUAAGUCAGAACUUCUGCUGUCCUCUGAGCAAGCCUGCAGGGCCAGGGCAUCCUCAGUCACAGCCGGUGACAAGUCCUUGCCUGACAGGCACUGAAUCAAUUCCACAACCUAAACUUCUAUGUCAUCAAACAUGGAGGCCCCUGUGCGUAAGCUAUACAGGAUCUUCUUGUAUUUUUCUUCCUUUGAGGGAAUAGAGAGGCUAAAGUGUUUUGGUGGGUGGUGAUUUUGCUGUUGUUUGGGGGUUUGUUUGUUUGUUUUUGCUAAUUUGGCCCCACCGUGCUAAGAAGCCAUGCUAACCAGAGGCAGGAGGAGGAGCCCAGGAGAGCCUGGGGUUGCUGCGCCCAGACCCCACCACCCACGUUCUCCUCUCCCCCUGUCCCAGCUGUUUCCUUUGGCUCCCACCUCAGGAUCUGAGUGGGGAGGGAUGGGGGAGGGAGAAGUUUCCCACUGCACCAAGAGGCACGGCUCCGAGGCCUGAAGCUCUGAACAGUCUCUGCCAUCCUUUAUCAGGCCCAGACGCCUACCGCCUAGGGAGGGCGGGAUGGCUGCAGAGUGCAAGCCUUCCACCUGUGGCCUCGGCAGCUGCACCCCAGGAUGUGGAAGCCUGGAGUUGGGCUGAAGGCUUAAUUUCUACCCUGACUUCUCCAGUGAGGAUCUGAGUAGGCGCCAUGCGGAAAUGCCCACAAAACAUCUGCAACCCUCAGGUCCAUUGAUGGAAAAAAGUGGCCAAGAGAGACAGGACCUUCCCUGCGCGCUGCCGCGUCCUGGGAGGGGGCCACCUCCGCAGACCAAGACACAUAGCCUCAUGGCCGGGAGAGUUUCGCUCGGUGCCAGCGUUCUCCAACCCAGAGUCAGAUGCCAGAGCUCUCCAUUCCUUCCCUGCUCCCCACCUCCCAGCAAUCGUCCGCCUCCUGCCCUGUUUGGAACUGGGGACCCCCGCAGGGGUCCCUGUCCUGAUCCACAAGACCCCCCUCCUCUCUUGCUGAGCUGUGUUGGCUGGUGAGAACAGCCCUGCCCUUAGGGUCCUGGUUACGCGGGUCCCCUUGUCCCUGGGAGGUGGAGGGGGCGAUGCAGAAGAGCAGAGGGGCGAAGGCGAGUGGGGAGAACAGCAGCGGGAUCAGGAGAGGGUGGCAGCGUCUCAGACCACAGCCGAGGAGGAAGAUGGGGACGACGAGGAGGCCGCAGAAGAGGACGGUGAGGACGGACUGUUCCAGAACAGCCACCGCCGCUUGGGCUGCCGUUUCAGGUGGAGAUAGUCCUCCUUCUCACGUUCCUUCCGUGCCCGCUGGUAGUGAUCUUCUUCCUUUAGGUACCAGACAGGCGGCCACCGGUGCUUCUCAAAAUACUCCUGGUUUUCUGGAGCAGAACAGUAGGGCCAUAGUUAGAGGGCAGGAGAAGGGGAGAGAGGAGGGCUGGGGCAUGGAGGGUGUCCAAGGGAUGCCCGCAGCGGCCCCCACACUGCCAUGGGGACUUGCAGCGGCCCCCAUCCAGGUAUCAGCCCUGCCUUCAGAGCCCCCGGUGCAGGUGCAGGGCUUCCUGAAGAAAGUCAAUGCCAGCAGUGGGGCCGACAGCGUUGGGAAAAGGUCCUUCCACUAUGCUGCACUUUAAAGGCAGAGGGCACACCCAGAUGGGCUUCACAUGCCUGGCAAUGAACUAGGCUGGGACGGAGCACGAGGAGGGAGGAGGGCAGCAGGGUGCUGGGCAUGGCACAGGCAGUUGGUGGAGCUGGGUUCUGAGGGAAGCAUCGGGAGGGAGGGCUGCAGGAGUACAAAGAGGGUCAGCCUUUAAAGGAAAGGCUAGGCUGAGGGGUUCAGACUGAUCCUGGAAGGCGUGAGGGGGCAUGCAAGGUUUAGACCAGGGCAGUGAUGUGGUUGGAGCUGUGCCCUACACAGAAAAUGCCACAAGGGUGCAAAGGAGAGACCAAGGGUAGGAGGACGGGAGGGUGCAGGGACAGCCUGGCAGCAGGGAGGAGGGCACCACAGCGUGGAGGGUGCCCAGUGGAGACCUGAAGAAAUGGCUGGCAGGAAACUGGGGAGGCCAAAACAUCUCUCCCCGGGGCUCGGGCAAUUCCUUUCAGGCGCCAGGACUUCGAGACAUUCAUUAAGCAGAGGUAGGACCGCAGGGACCUCAGAGGAUACCAGGACCUGUGUUGUCCAAGCUGUGCCCUUUCUAAGUUGUGAAAUCAACGUGGUGGGUCAUGAGCAGCAUUUAAAAACAAUUUGUAUAGUUUUUUAUAUGUGUACCAGCUCCCAACAUAAAAUGCAUUUCUUAUUGUGGAGUCUUGUCUGAAAAAUACCAACUCUGGAAAAAAAAAAAAUCAAGUCUGAAAUACCAAAAUACCAAAACAACUAAAAAACACACAAAAAAACCCAAGUCUGAAAAACACCAAAAGUCCAACACCCUCUUUGUACUCAUGAGAAAUAGAAGCCCAGAGAAGUUAAGUGAAUUGCUCGACGUCCCCAGCUGCCCUGCCCUUUGCCUGGGCUUCCCUCUGCUUGGCUGGAUACACCUUUGCAGGCUGCUCCCCACCCGCAAGGUCAAGUUCAGCCCAAGGAUCUUUGGCAGCCGUCAGAUGCCCUCCGGUCGAGUCAGAGAUCUGGACCCAGGUUGAAGCCCCUUCAGCAGACAGGUGGAGCAAAGGUCCUGUGGGAGAUGCUUACCUGGGGACAUGGCCUUCAUGUCUCGCGGGAACUUGCGGCACACGUUGUUGUAAUUGGUGCAGAUGUGGUGAAGACACCAGUCGGCCAACUGGUACGCACAGUGGAACUGGGGACAAACAGGAGAGCAUCUGUGCUGGAACCCCAGGGCAGGGUCUGCACAGACACCUAGUGCUGUCUUCAGAGCCACAGCUUUGGUGUAGACAGGCAAUGGCCCUGCAGUUGUAAAGGGCCCAUCUCGAGAGGCAAACCCACGCAAAAGUGUAAGAAAACAUUUACUUUGCUCUUUGGCACCACCACCACCAUCACGUCACCUCUGUCCUGCCCCCAGCAUCCAGGACAUCCACAGCUGUGUGUGGUGCCUUCCUACCGUGUCCGUCCUCCUUAGAUCCCACCCCAGAGAUGCCCCCCUCCUCCCGUCAGGGACCAAAGCAGUCUCCACUAAGGUGUAGACACCCAGGGUUAGAGAGCUGACCUUCCCAGCUGCAUCUAAAUGCCUCAGAGCCACAACUCCAACUUCAUCAACUAACUUCUGGUGGUAGAAUUUUACACUCAGAGGGCCGAUGUGGGAGAUUUCGCUUGUUUGCAUGGGGAUGAGGAGGUGGGCAGCUAAUAUUAGAGGAAGGGUCCUCAAUGACCGAAGGCAGGCUGAAACCAUGUCUACACGUGAGACUGGGCUUCCUUCCCCUGCCUUAUGGUUGCACGAUGCCUCAGUCCCUUCCCGCCAUGGCCAGCCUCUCCUCUCGGCAUGUCAGAGUGUAUCCUCUUGCAGGAAGGAUGAGACGGGCUCUGCCGAAUCAGGGAACCAAGUCUAAAAAUGGGCUCCCUUCCUGCCCACCGCCUCCCAGGCUUCCCCAGUCGCUGCCAAUGAGCAUACAGAGCCCAGAGUCAAGAAUGUUGGAGAGAUCCCUUCCCCAGCCGUCAUACCUGAGCCAGUUCGAGGAACACAAGGACAUCUCCAUCAAUGUCCACCAUCAUCUGAGUUGCUUCCAUCAGCCCGGUCACUGUGUACUGCUCUGUGACACACACAGCCAGGAAUUAGCCGAAGAACCACAUGAAUGGAUAUGUACUCAUUUAUACCCCCCGGCAGGGACCCCACUGCAGGGCAAAGAGAGAUGAGGCCAGGUGGAAGUCCCAACAGGCCGAGAAAGGCCAUAGCCAAUUUAAGUCUGCUCCCACCAGUGAGGAAAUUGGGAUUACAGCAAGACUUUCCCAGUGCAGUGAGGAUGGGGAGUGAAGGUGGAUGUCAGGAUCAUGUAAGAGAAUUGUUCAAACUACGUAUGUCGCACCCAGUAGUCUGAUAUAUGUAGGGUAAAAGCCCCCAGUGGAACCAGCCAUUGACACGGACGGGAGACGGCAGUAAGUCUCAGAGUUCUCUCUUUUGCCAAGAACUACAAAUUAGAACUAUGGAUUAAACCUAAGUGUUUGUAUUAAUUUAGAUUUUAGAACAAAUUGUGUACUAACCUUACAUUUUAUGUUAAAACAUUUACAUUGAAAAAGUAAACACUAUUAAUCCUGAAGUUUAACUGUAUCAGUAUAGACUCAUGAGGUAUCUUUAAAAUAUACUUCCCAGCUCAGUCCAUGGAAAAAACCUAGAAACAAGAGCUCGAAAUGAUACAUUGGUAAUGGGCAUCCCUCAUGCACAGAUUAUAGCCUGGAAAUACCAUUUCCUAUAAGAAGCAGACUUCUUAGAGAAAUGGCUGAUUCCAGGUCCAGGGCAGGAAAUGUACAAAACGAACCUGGAACAUCUUGUCAUUCCACAUAACCAGAAAGCUCACUCCGAUGCCAACUUGAAGAGAUCCCUGCUGGCAAAAGGUGCGGUGCAGUACUUUAGCGUUAAUAAAGUAACUGCAAUUAUUUGAAACCGAUCAAGUACAUUCAAAUCUAAAAGUUGGUAAUAAUCCUUCAAAAUAAAAACUAACGGGGCACUCUCCAAAGGUGAUGGGAACCAAAUGUAUCUUGAAAUCUGGUCAGUGAAGAGGAAACAGUCAAACAUACACCUGCCCCUCCUGUAUGAAACCAUACUACUCGGAAAAAGUAGGAGGGAAGCUUCUCUCCUUUUAGAAGGAUUCCAACAGAUAAAGAAGGAAUGCCUGAAUUGGAAUAUUACCAUUUCACAACACCUAAUAAAUCAGCGGACCCACUGACACUCAGUGGCUGCUAACAUCGCAAAAAGAGAGAGAGCUUCUUGAUGAGAAACAGAAAUGGGGCACCUGGCUGGCUCAGUCAGUGGAGCAUGUGACUCUUGAUCUUGGGGUUGUGAGUUCGAACGCCACGUUGGGUGUAGAGAUUACUUAAAAAUAAAAUCUUAACAAACAGACAAAACAAAAACAACCUAUGAAGUAGUCUUAGCAAAAGAAAAUUGAAUACGAAUCUGAUCUAGCCUGUAGAACCAAUGACCAAUCAGUGAAAUCUAGAUUUUCUAGAACAUCAGUGGGCUUUUCCCAAUAGAUAAGUUGCAAGGGGGGAAAAAAAUCAUGGACAAGGAACCUCUAGAUUAGAAGAAACUUAAAAGGCAUAUAAAAAAUAAGACCAUGCUAUAGUGUUUAAGGGUGCACACUUAGAAGAUAAAACUAUGAAGAGUAAGGCAGUGAGGCCAUAAAAAAUACCCUACAAAAGACUGAUAGGUAAAGUGUUACUCCUGAGGAGGGAGAAGGACCCGGCACUCGGGUGGACAGGCAGGGGGCUUCUGCUGUGGCUGGCAAGGGCCUAGCUCCUGAUAUGGGUCAUUUGAGUCUAUAAUAAUUCAUGAAGCUAAACAUAUAGUUCAUGUAUUUGUGUUAUACUGAACAAUAAGAAGUUUUAAGCUUGAAUUAAUAACUUCAUAGAAAGCAUACUUCAUGAAACAUAAAGCAUCACCAACUGUACCACAUUCAACACUUGCUGCUAAUCCGUGACAAGUACAUACACAACACAUGCUUGUAUGUUUUGUAGUGUUUAUGGGCCAUUUCCCAGGACGAGUCAUUCAACGGUAUUUUCUACAAGCCUUUCCAUGUGGCAGUGCAGUGUAACAUUUUUUUUUUUUUUUAAUUUUUUUUUUUUCAACGUUUAUUUAUUUUUGGGACAGAGAGAGACAGAGCAUGAACGGGGGAGGGGCAGAGAGAGGGAGACACAGAAUUGGAAACAGGCUCCAGGCUCCGACCCAUCAGCCCAGAGCCUGACGCGGGGCUCGAACUCACGGACCGCGAGAUCGUGACCUGGCUGAAGUCGGACGCUUAACCGACUGCGCCACCCAGGCGCCCCGCAGUGUAACAUUUUUGAUGGCUCACUUGUUUCUGAUUGCCCACCAUGAUAAGGCAAACUUACAGAAAUAUCUUUAUACAUAUUUUGCCUUUGGGUCAUUUCUUUGGAGAUAGUCUUUCAAAAAAGUUGAAUUACUCGGUCCAAGAGUUCGGGAGCUGUCUGUGCUCUGUGAAGACCACACCUCUUUUCACAGGCAGUCCUGGUGGACUUACUGUUUCAGCUGUGAUCUUUAGAAGCCUCUCUCUUGCUCCCCACCCGAAAGCCCUCUGUGUCUCCAACUAGGCUCCCAACUAACAUUCCAAUUCUUUUUUUUUUUUUUAACGUUUAUUUAUCAUUGAGAGACAGAGAGAGACAGACCAUGAGCAGGGGAGGGGCAGAGAGAGAGGGAGACACAGAAUCUGAAGCAGGCUCCAGGCUCUGAACUGUCAGCACAGAGCCCGAUGUGGGGCUCGAACUCACGAACCGCGAGAUCAUGACCUGAGCCGAAGUCGGACGCUUAACCGACUGAGCCACCCAGGCGCCCCUAACAUUCCAAUUCUGAUCGGCGACUUCUUCCUUCUUCCUACGACCAAGCCCCAUCUUAUUUAUAACUAAUUUCUCAUCACGGUUUUGCCGUUUUCCUCAUCUGUAAGUCCCAGUCUUCAUCACCUGUACAGUGCCCCAGCAGCUCUAAUGCUAGGUCCUUCCCUUAGUCUCAGCUCAAUAUCUUAGGCCCUGCUCUCUGCCCCCUGACCUGCCCAAGAACAUGAACCCCGAUAUCAACACCAGCACAGGCACCAACACCAACACCAACACAGCACAAAUGCCAGUUCCAACCUCAACGGGAGCCUUCUGCCUGCUUGCAUCACUGGCCCCAGACCCCCUUCAUCUGGACCAUUCCUGUCCUGCAGCCCCUGGGCCCCCAACAGCCUGCUGCUCAGUGUCCCUGUUGCCUCAGGCCCUGCUCCAUCCCGAGGACCUCUGCAUUUGGCCUUCUCUAAAAGCUGAGCUCUCAUGGUCUUUUCAAGGAACUAGGCAGGUCAAUGUUUAUUGUCUGUUUCUGGAAGAAGAACCAGAAAGCGAAGGUGGAAGAGAAGGAGGAGGAAGAGAAGAAGGAAGAGAAGAGAAAAGAAAGAAGGCAGAGGAGGAGGAGAAGGACCCAAGAGGGGAUGGGGAGUGAGGAACUGCGUUCUAUUCCUCUUGACUUGAGCUUGCCAGAGUGAGACCCAGCUGGGAGAACACCAGGCGCUGUCAUCUGCCGGAGACAAGACGGUUGGGCCCAAAACCCUUCGCGGAGAGCCUACAACGUGACACCACCAAGCACGUCUCUCUCACUUCUUUACAUCUGUGUCCUCUCCAAACCCCAAUACGCAUCGACAUAUUUCACUGGGUGUAAACACAUUCCCUUGGUGCUAGCAGCCUGUCCCUUGGGAGGAGACAGGUGAGAGAAGAAAUAAUGACUUCUGGGGGUUUCCCUGGCUUCUCCCCCAGGGAGAUCCUCACGUACCUGUGAGGGCAACCAAGUGUGGCAGGCAGAGGCGGUUGGCCAAGAUGAUGAGCUUCAUGUCGUCCAGGUCGGGACUGGAGGUGAACAUGCCCGUGUAGAGGUAUUCCAGCACUGCCCUCAUGCAGCUCUUGCUUGUGUAAGGAAACACCACCUGCAGGGGGAAGGAAGACAGAGAGCCUCAGUGAGGUCCAGCUUUUGGGAAGGAGGAACUCAGGUCUGAGAAACUCAAAAGGCCCUGGUCCUCACGGGCCGGGCUCCCCCAGGCUGGCCAGCCAUCCCGCCGCUGCCCCUGUACCGACUCAGGAAGCCCUCAAAGGCCUGCAUCCCAGAGCAAAACCCUGCACGGAGCCCAUGUGCUGACAGCACCAGUGAGCAGGGCUCUGACAGCUUUUAACGGGACCUAGAUUCUCACUGGCAUGCUUCCAAAGCCAUGCUGGCUUGGAAGGUGUUUGAAGGAAUCCUUCCUUUCACCUGAACCCACACCCCAGCCCCUCCUGGCCUUGCAGAGGGCAGUGCGAGUGGGAUCGGCUUCUCUCUGGCUGCCUGAAGAGGCUGCUUUGGGCCCCUGGGAUCUCUUCAGAGCAGUGCUGCAACAAAAACUGCUUUCUCAUCAGGCACAAGUCUCCCCAGGCGGCGUGCAAAUCGUCUGGAGCUUUGAAGCUGCUUCUAUGGUACCCAGAAGUGCGCAGGGCUGGCCGCCCCUGGGGCUCCGGGGAGCGCCUGGUCUCACACUCACAGAAGCCAAUCCCACUCACACUUCAAGGUUCAGAGACCAACUCACAUCUCAAUCCCUCCACUUAGCCUUCCGGAAGGGCUUCCUUCCCAGAAAUGUUAAGAAAUUCCUAUUCUGUGUCACAGGACGCUAUGCUGUGUUAGUCCUAGCGCAGUCUUUCGCUCAAGUGUUUGGUGAGCUCUACUGAGGGACCAGUGUGGAUGGGGGGUGGGGUGGGGUGGGGACGAUUUGGCGCAAGUGCAAGACCCGGUCCCCACACUUGAAAGAAAUCCCAGACCAGUCGAGAAAACUGUGUGGAUACUCCGAACCUCGUGCGGUUGCACAAACUUGUACCUUGUUAACUGCGAGGCUGAGUGAUGGACAAUUAACGGUACGGGAGCUUAAAGAAAAUAGAGAAGGGGCUCCUGGGUGGCUGAGUCGGUGAAGCGUCCAACUUUGGCUCAGGUCAUGAUCUCACCGUUUGUGAGUUCGAGCCCCACAUGGGCUCUCUGCUGUCAAGACGGAGCCUGCUUCAGUUUCUCUGUCCCCCCCUCUCUCUGCCCCUCCCCUGCUCUCUCACACGCGUGCUCUCUCCCUCUUCUCUCUCAAAAAUAAAAAAAUAAACCUUAAAAAAAAUAAUGGAUUCAUUUUAGGACACACAGAACUUUUUCCAGUUGGUUCACAUGUGUUAGGGAGAAAGCAAAAUACAAUGUAUAGAGCCAAGGAAUUGGAAGUCUCAAAGUCCGAACCUCUCCUUUCUACUUAUGUAACUUUGUACCAGACUCUGAACUCCUCAAGGGCCUCACUUUCCCUAUAAAGUGGGAACACUAUGCCAUAUGUGUGAGGUGAUACAGGAGAUAAUGUAUCAAAAGUGCCUUCUAAACCAUAGAGUGAAGAUGUUACUAUAAUUCUUGGCUAUGGGAACCAUCUCAUCAUAAACGUCUCUGGAGUUGGUCACUCAGCGGUUAGCAAGCACACAGUCGGUGCUGAAGAAAGUACCAAUAAAUAGCAGCUGCCUCAGGUGCGAAGUGUGUAGGUCUGGCUCUCCCUCCCACCCAGUCCCAUCCUGGCCUUACCUCCCUGGUGGAACUCUCCACAAAUGGCCCCCCAAACAUGGCAGCCAUCCAGUCACAGCUGGAAAUCAACAGGGGCUUAUGGGCGCUGAUGGUGCCAUCAUCCAGGAUGAAAGUCACAUCUGUCCAGGAGGAGAAGAGGCAUCACGUGAGGAUGUGGUGAAAGAAUGUGGGACAACCAACCCCAAAGAUUGCCACCGUGCCCAGACAACCCACUUCCUUCCGAAGCCACGGCUGUGGAGUGCUACGUGACCAAGCUCUCAGGCUUAGGGGACUAGGCUUCAGGAGCAGAGCCACCACAGCUCCAGGACAUCAGCAGCUGAGAUGAAUGACUCAGAAUGCUAAUCAGACCAACCUGGACUCUUGAGAAGGCAAACUGGAGGGAACUUCCCUGCCUUCUGGCAGUCAGUUCCUAAGCACAAUCCGUACCUGAGAAGGUGCCCUUUGCCAAGCACUCCUUAACCCGGUUGGUCCGACGGACAUGGAAGGCCUUAGUGAUCUCUUGGUUCAUGAAGGCCUCAUUGUUGAGAAUGUUGGCCACCAUCAUGCGUAAAUCAAAGACCUCAAGCAGUUCAGCAAUGUGGGCGAUGUGCAUGAGGUCCCGCUCGUUCUCAUCCAGCUCCCCGGUGUACAGGUACUUGAGAACAGCCCGGAAGGGCCCCGGCUGGAUGGAGUUGUCCAUUUUUACCACCACCAUCAGCCGGGAUUUGUAGGUCAGAGGAUCUUCAGCCAUCUCUUCCUGGAUGCUUACAAAAGCUCGGCUCCAGGAAGACAGUACUCGACCCCUCCCUGGCAGAUACCCUGUUCCAUUGCCCCGCAAGAUCCCAUCGCUGGUUGAGGCGCGGAGCCCAGCAGGACCCGAGCCCCCGCCCUCCUCCACGCUCUCGCAUACGUCAAAGCUGGCCGCCCGAAGCAGGAAGUCCCGGCCAUGGUGGUGGUGGUGGUGAUGGUGGUAGUGGUGAUCAGGAUGACCCCGGUGGUCCUCUGGGCGGGGGCCCCCUGGCCCCGAGGGGCCCCCCAGCUCCCCCUCACUCAGGUCCAUGAGGAACAGGUCGUAGAACUUGGAGGAGGAGGUGGAGAGGUAGAUCUUGUGGGCAAAGAUGCGCACCCGCUCCUGCAGCACCAGUAUGACAUCCGCGCACAGCGGGUCCUCCAGGAGGUGGGCGGGGCACUCCUCGCUGCUGGAGGGGGGAUCUGGCACCACGAUGAUGGGGGGAGGCGGCUUGGGAGGCAAGAAGGGCGCCUGCAGCAGAGGCCGCUGCACAUUGCGGAGGUGGGAUUUCCAGAACUGCAGGUGCCGGCGGGAGAUGAGUGCGGCGCGGAUGGCGUUGUCAAAGACGUCCUUGAUGCCGAACUGGGCCACCACGCUGGUCUCGUAGUAGGGGAUGCCCAGCUCCUUGGCUACCUCCCGACCCUUCUCUGGGGGAAGGAUCUCAUUGGGCUUGAUGGGCCUGGGAGGUUCAAGAAGGAAAACUAAACAUGUUGGUGGGGGAAGAGAGGAGGGGCGGGGCAGGGAGAGGCAGCUCUCCAGAGCCUGCCUGUUCUCCAGGGGGCUGGAGAUUCUCUACACAAGAUCUGUCUCUGCCCCACUCCUGCCCUUUCCUCCUCUGUCUAGUCAAAUCUUACUAGUCCUUCAAGUCCCCUUCCAAUCCCCUCUUCUUGCAGGACUUCUGCCAGAGCCCCCGUCCCACCCGCUGCCAGAAACUUCUGGCAAUGAGCAUGCAAUGUUCCACAUUGGUUUUUAACAUGUUCAAACAUCGAGUUCAUCUCUCAGCAUGAUCAUAAGUCCCUUUCAUGCAAAGA